AGAGAACCAAAGGGCAGAGUAGAAAGACACCAACAUCCUUAAACCAUGAAAAGGCCUUAUUGAAGGAUAAGGAUUAAAGGCAUAAGCAUGUUAUUUAAACCUCCAAGUGUAAUCAAGAGAACCGUCAAUGAUGAUGGCUUCAUAUCAAGAGAACUGGGAAGGCAAGAUCACAAAGCACUGGACGCCUGAGUACAACAGUGACAUAAAAGCACAUUGACACUAAUAAUCACCAGGACUUUAUCUGCAAUGGGCCAGAGCUGCAGGACUACUGGGGACUCGAUAUGGAGAGGAAGGAUACACCUGACAGCUUACUCUGGGCUCUGUGUGCAUGAAUGACUGCCUAAGAGAUCGUACUCAUUCACUUUCCUGGACACUACGGGCUUCCCACGCAUUGAGCUAAUUUUGUAUAGUGCAUGUCCCAUGUACCAGACACUGUGCUAUAUGCUGGGACAACAAGCACUGGGAAUACGUAUUUUUAAAAGCUCCCCAGGUGACUCUGAAUAUCAGCCAGGGUUGAAAAUGACCACUUGGUGUUUCACAGGGAACAAGCUCUGUGGUAAACCUAACAGAACUGGGGUCCCAACAUCACCCCCCACCUCUCCCCGCUGCUCUCUGAGGUUGAGAACUGUAUUCCCUACAAUAAUAUGGAACUCACACUCAAAACAGGAGGAGCAGAGACCGAGUCUUCCUCUUCCCUCCACCAGGCUCCUUAGCUGCAGCCCCACCGCCCUUCCUCAAUCUGGAAAGGGCAGCAAAGUGAGGGAGUGUAUCCCCCGGAAGCCUGGGGACCCUGCCUGAUCUCUGGCCUGGGAGCAGUUGGGGCUAGCACAGCCAGACAUCAUCCAUCCUUCACCCCAGGGUGCAGGCCUCAGACGUCCAACACCUCAUGACAACAGCCAUUUGGCCAGCAGCUUCUGGGAGGAUAAUGCUGAGGCCAAAACUCAACAGGCAGAAGUAACUUGCCCCAAGUAUUGGUCCUGCUUGGAGGCAAAACAAUCAGUAGGUUGAUGACAGCCUGAUGCUUGAGAAAUCAUUUUUUUAAAAAGACGGGGGGGGGGGGGGGGUGGGGGGGGUUGAAGAUUGCUUAAAAGCAGCCCUUUAACUCAGAAGGCAGUUCCAUCCACCUUACAAAUUCAAUGCCCUCUGAAUACACAUCUAUCUGUCACAGCAGGGAAUCUUUUAACUAGCAAAAGAGCAAGAGAAGGAAUUCAGAUCAACAUCGCGGGCUGUAGCAAUAAAGCCCUGCCGUGGAUUCACCCCUUUCCCUCGAGGCAGGAAAGAAUCAAGGAAGAAUUUCAAAAUCUUUUUAUACAAUUAAAGAAAGGGAUUUGGUGGGAGAAGGGAGCAAGGAGGACAAGAUCAAGAAUGUAAGGUUUGCUAUUUUAAGCUCAAAAUAAAUCAUGAUAAGAAAGGACUAGAAGGUUUGAUUUUAUUUCUCAGAUCUUCUCCAUGGCAGGAACAGUAUCUGGUGUUUGGGGGAGGGGGGGGCAAACUGUCAGGCCAGCAUCAGUCUUUUCACCCCCUCAUCCAGUUCCCCCAAAAUAAAACCAGUCUGUCGUGUGCUUCCAGAAUUUUACAAUCUUGAAUUACGGCUUUGAAAUAAUUCGGAUUCCACUAUAACAAAUCUCAGAGAUAUGAGGCAGGCUACAAAGAAAAUCCAGCAAAAUAUAUCCAAAGAACUGUAUCCAAGAUGGUAGCAGGAAAAAGAACCAGACAAUAUGAUAAAUUUGGCACACGAGGACCAGCGAAUGACGUACCAAACCAGUAAAGACAGCUCCCUAAGAAAUACACAUUCACGGGGCCGGCCCCGUGGCCGAGUGGUUAAGUUUGUGUGCUCCGCUGCGGCGGCCCAGGGUUUGGAUCCUGGGCACGGACAUGGCACCACUCAUCAGGCCACGUUGAGGCGGCGUCCCACAUCCCACAACUAGAAGGACCUGCAACUAGGAUAUACAACUGUGUACAGGGGGGGUUUGGGGAGAUAAAGCAGGAAAAAAAGAAAAAGAUUGGCAACAGUUGUUAGCCCAGGUGCCAAUCUUUAAAAAAAAAAAAGGAAAUACACAGUCACUAUUUCCCAAAACUAUUUUAGAACCCACUCUUGUCAACCAUUACUUUCUAGAAGCCUAACUUUUACAACAUCCAAUCCUUGAUCAUUUAUGAUACAAAAGAAAACAAAAGCGGGUGGAACCAUAGUACUGUGCAUUAUAAAAAACAUUUCCUUGAGAGAACCAAAGUUCUGAAGAUACAUACAUCAGUCAGCUGCUUGGCAACUUUAAGGUCGACACCUGUGGGGAUCGACAGACAGCCCAGGUGUGGGUUGUUUUUAUCACUUCGCUUCAUCAGUGUACUUCUACAUUUUGGCUUGGCCCUGUCAGAUCUUUUCUUCUCUCAAACCAGUGAGAAAAGUGUACAUAUGCUAAUAUAUGUUAAUAUACAGUCGCACGCUGCAUAAGGACACUUUGGGACCACAUAUACGAUGACGGUGGUCCCAUGAGAUUAGUCCCAGAUAGGCUAGGUGUGCAGUGGCUCUACCACCUAGGUUUGUGUAAGUACACUCUGUGAUGUUCGCACAACAACAAAAUUGCCCAAGGAUGCAUUUCUUAGAACGUAUCCCGUCGUUAAGCGACACAUGACCGUGCACACACAUAUACAUGUUUAUAAAAUGGAUCUCAACCCCCCAAAAACCUUCUUUACCUCUUUUCAGAUUUAAAAGCUUAUCACUCACUUCAUUUGAACUCUCUUAACAAUCACAAAGUUGGAGACCAGUGUUGUAACCACAGCACUCAGGAACUAGACUGUAGUUUUUAUUGCCUAUUCUCUGUUGAGAUGCCCAAGUUCUCUUUUUGAAGACAUGUGUGGUUAAAUCCAGCAUCUUUUUUAAUAAAUACAUUUCUUUAAAUGUAAGCCAGGGGGUGUCUGUCAGCUGUGGGGAAACAAA
This is a long non-coding RNA of Equus asinus (donkey), 2935 nucleotides long. The record is from Ensembl. NCBI's taxonomy places the organism in Eukaryota, Metazoa, Chordata, Mammalia, Perissodactyla, Equidae.